AUACGGAGGAUCCAAGCGGUAUCCGGAAUCAUUGGGUUUAAAGGGUCCGUAGGUGGAUAAUUAAGUCAGAGGUGAAAUCCUGCAGCUCAACUGUAGAAUUGCCUUUGAUACUGGUUAUCUUGAGUUAUUAUGAAGUAGUUAGAAUAUGUAGUGUAGCGGUGAAAUGCAUAGAUAUUACUUAGAAUACCGAUUGCGAAGGCAGAUUACUAAUAAUAUACUGACACUGAGGGACGAAAGCGUGGGGAGCGAACAGGAUUAGAAACCCUAGUAGUCC
This 274-nucleotide ribosomal RNA is filed under the name uncultured bacterium. RNAcentral's name for it is "partial 16S ribosomal RNA". It matches the Rfam family "Bacterial small subunit ribosomal RNA", at positions 523 to 796 of the family's 1533-position model. The record is from RNAcentral.